ACGGGAGGCAGCAGUGGGGAAUAUUGCACAAUGGGCGCAAGCCUGAUGCAGCGAUGCCGCGUGUGGGAAGAAGGUUUUCGGAUUGUAAACCUCUGUCAUCGGGGACGAUAAUGACUGUACCCGAGAAGGAAGCUCCGGCUAACUACGUGCCAGCAGCCGCGGUAAUACGUAGGUGGCGAGCGUUAUCCGGAAUUACUGGGUGUAAAGGGAGUGUAGGCGGGACUGUAAGUCAGAUGUGAAAUAUGCCGGCUUAACUGGCAGAUUGCAUUUGAAACUGUGGUUCUUGAGUGAAGUAGAGGUAAGCGGAAUUCCAUGUGUAGCGGUGAAAUGCGUAGAUAUAAGGAGGAACAUCAGUGGCGAAGGCGGCUUACUGGGCUUUAACUGACGCUGAGGCUCGAAAGCGUGGGGAGCAAACAGGAUUAGAUACCCUGGUA
Molecule: ribosomal RNA, 434 nt
Filed under: uncultured Ruminococcus sp.
Lineage: Bacteria; Bacillati; Bacillota; Clostridia; Eubacteriales; Oscillospiraceae
Description: partial 16S ribosomal RNA
Rfam family: Bacterial small subunit ribosomal RNA
Source: RNAcentral